UUCCGGUUGAUCCCGCCGGAGGCGACCGCUUUUGGAGUUCGAUUAAGCCAUGCGAGUAGAAUGAAUUAGAUCAUUGCGAACUGCUCAGUAACACGUGGAUAACCUGCCCUAUGCUCUGGGAUAACCUUGGGAAACUGAGAAUAAUACCGGAUAGAUCACAACGCCUGGAACGGUGUGUGGUUGAAAGGUCACGGCAUAGGAUGGGUCUGCGGCGUAUCAGGUCGUAGGGGGUGUAAUGGACCUCCUAGCCAUCGACGCGUACGGGUUGUGGGAGCAAUAGCCCGGAGAUGGAUUCUGAGACACGAAUCCAGACCCUACGGGGUGCAGCAGGCGCGAAAACUUGGCAAUGCGAGAAAUCGUGACCAGGGAACUCCAAGUGCAUCGGGUAAGACCGGUGCUUUUCUUGACUCUAAAUAGGUCUUGGAAUAAGGGGUGGGUAAGGACGGUGCCAGCCGCCGCGGUAAUACCGGCGCCUCAAGUGGUAGUCGCUUUUAUUGGGCCUAAAACGUCCGUAGCCGGUCUGAUACAUUCGUGGGUAAAUCAACCAGCUUAACUGGUUGAAUUCUGCGAGGACGGUCAGACUUGGGACCGGGAGAGGUGUGGGGUACGCUCAGGGUAGGGGUAAAAUCCUGUCAUCCUGAGCGGACCACCUGUUGCGAAGGCGCCACACUAGAACGGAUCCGACGGUCAGGGACGAAGCCUAGGGGCACGAACCGGAUUAGAUACCCGGGUAGUCCUAGGUGUAAACGCUGUGGACUUGAUGUUGGGGGUGCUCCGAGCACUCUCAGUGUCGAAGCGAAGGUGAUAAGUCCACUGCCUGGGAAGUACGGUCGCAAGGCUGAAACUUAAAGGAAUUGGCGGGGGAGCACCGCAACCUGAGGAUUGUGCGGUUUAAUUGGAUUCAACGCCGG
RNAcentral lists this ribosomal RNA (911 nucleotides) under uncultured marine archaeon. RNAcentral's name for it is "bacterial SSU rRNA". It matches the Rfam family "Archaeal small subunit ribosomal RNA", at positions 1 to 921 of the family's 1478-position model. The record is from RNAcentral.